GGGCCCGCACAAGCGGUGGAGCAUGUGGUUUAAUUCGAUGCAACGCGAAAAACCUUACCAGGCCUUGACAUCCUGAGAAUUCGGUAGAGAUACCUUAGUGCCUUCGGGAACUCAGUGACAGGUGUUGCAUGGCUGUCGUCAGCUCGUGUCGUGAGAUGUUGGGUUAAGUCCCGUAACGAGCGCAACCCUUAUCCUUAUUUGCCAGCACUUCGGGUGGGAACUUUAAGGAGACUGCCGGUGACAAACCGGAGGAAGGAGAGGAUGAUGUCAAGUCAUCAUGGCCCUUAUGUCUGGGGCUACACACGUACUACAAUGGCAUUUACAGAGGGCAGCAAUACGGCAACGUGGAGCCAAUCCCAAAAGAAUGCCUCAGUUCGGAUUGGAGUCUGCAACUCGACUCCAUGAAGUUGGAAUCGCUAGUAA
RNAcentral lists this ribosomal RNA (423 nucleotides) under uncultured bacterium. Its description in RNAcentral is "bacterial SSU rRNA". It matches the Rfam family "Bacterial small subunit ribosomal RNA", at positions 917 to 1341 of the family's 1533-position model. The record is from RNAcentral.